UACGUAGGGUGCAAGCGUUGUCCGGAAUUAUUGGGCGUAAAGAGCUCGUAGGCGGUUUGUCGCGUCUGCUGUGAAAAUCCCGGGCUUAACCUUGGACCUGCAGUGGGUACGGGCAGACUGGAGUGCGGUAGGGGAGAUCGGAAUUCCUGGUGUAGCGGUGAAAUGCGCAGAUAUCAGGAGGAACACCGGUGGCGAAGGCGGAUCUCUGGGCCGUAGCUGACGCUGAGGCGCGAAAGCCAGGGGAGCAAACGGG
This 253-nucleotide ribosomal RNA is filed under the name uncultured bacterium. RNAcentral's name for it is "partial 16S ribosomal RNA". It matches the Rfam family "Bacterial small subunit ribosomal RNA", at positions 524 to 776 of the family's 1533-position model. The record is from RNAcentral.